UACGAACUGUGCGACCGUUAUUCGGAAUCACUGGGCUUACAGGGUGCGUAGGCGGCUCAACAAGUCAGGUGUGAAAGCCCCCGGCUCAACCGGGGAACUGCGCUUGAAACUGUUAGGCUCGAGUCAGCUAGAGGUACACGGAACUUCCAGUGGAGCGGUGAAAUGUGUUGAUAUUGGAAGGAACACCGGAGGCGAAAGCGGUGUACUGGGGCUGGUCUGACGCUGAGGCACGAAAGCCAGGGGAGCGAACGGG
RNAcentral lists this ribosomal RNA (253 nucleotides) under uncultured bacterium. RNAcentral's name for it is "partial 16S ribosomal RNA". It matches the Rfam family "Bacterial small subunit ribosomal RNA", at positions 524 to 776 of the family's 1533-position model. The record is from RNAcentral.